GACGAACGCUGGCGGCGUGCUUAACACAUGCAAGUCGAACGGAAAGGCCCUGCUUUUGUGGGGUGCUCGAUUGGCGAACGGGUGUGUAACACGUGAGUAACCUGCCCUUGACUUUGGGAUAACUUCAGGAAACUGGGGCUAAUACCGGAUAGGAGCUCCUGCUGCAUGUUGGGGGUUGGAAAGUUUCGGCGGUUGUGGAUGGACUCGCGGCUUAUCAGCUUGUUGGUGGAGUAGUUGCGUACCAAGGCUUUGACGGGUAGCCGGCCUGAGAGGGUGAACGGCCACAUUGGGACUGAGAUACGGCGCAGACUGCUACGGGAGGCAGAAGUGGGGAAUAUUGCACAAUGGGCGGAAGCCUGAUGCAGAAACGCCGCGUGCGGGAUAACGGCUUUCGGGUUGUAAACCGCUUUCGACUGUGACGAAGCGUGAGUGACGGUAAUGGGUAAAGAAGCAACGGCUAACUACGUG
RNAcentral lists this ribosomal RNA (468 nucleotides) under uncultured bacterium. RNAcentral describes it as "partial 16S ribosomal RNA". It matches the Rfam family "Bacterial small subunit ribosomal RNA", at positions 28 to 507 of the family's 1533-position model. The record is from RNAcentral.